RNAcentral lists this microRNA precursor (90 nucleotides) under Pristionchus pacificus. RNAcentral describes it as "microRNA ppc-mir-2265 precursor". The record is from miRBase by way of RNAcentral. Lineage: Eukaryota; Metazoa; Nematoda; Chromadorea; Rhabditida; Neodiplogasteridae.
CGAUGCCCGUGCUAGCAACCAGAUGGAAACGAGGAGGAGUCCCUUUGAACGAAUCCCGCCCCGGCCUCAUCUGGUCCCUGGCUGGGCAUC